UAGGGAAUCUUCCGCAAUGGACGAAAGUCUGACGGAGCAACGCCGCGUGAGUGAUGAAGGUUUUCGGAUUGUAAAGCUCUGUUGUUAGGGAAGAACAAGUACCGUUCGAAUAGGGCGGUACCUUGACGGUACCUAACCAGAAAGCCACGGCUAACUACGUGCCAGCAGCCGCGGUAAUACGUAGGUGGCAAGCGUUGUCCGGAAUUAUUGGGCGUAAAGGGCUCGCAGGCGGGUUCUUAAGUCUGAUGUGAAAGCCCCCGGCUCAACCGGGGAGGGUCAUUGGAAACUGGGGAACUGGAGUGCAGAAGAGGAGAGUGGAAUUCCACGUGUAGCGGUUAAAUGCGUAGAGAUGUGGAGGAACACCAGUGGCGAAGGCGACUCUCUGGUCUGUAACUGACGCUGAGGAGCGAAAGCGUUGGGAGCGAACA
RNAcentral lists this ribosomal RNA (428 nucleotides) under uncultured prokaryote. RNAcentral's name for it is "bacterial SSU rRNA". It matches the Rfam family "Bacterial small subunit ribosomal RNA", at positions 355 to 774 of the family's 1533-position model. The record is from RNAcentral.